UGAGUAACUGCGCUCCUGAGCUGUUGUACCGGUUUUCCAUGGUUUGCUUUAAUCGGCAGGCUGUGGUGGCUGGGUGUGUUUACCUUGGAAUAAAUCAAAAUGCUCAAGAUAGGCGUCUCGCCUGAAUGACAGUGCAUGGGAAUAAUGGAAUAAGACUUCGUUUAUUCUUGUUGGUCUGGGACCGAUGUAAUGGUUAGAGGGACUGACGGGGGCAUUUGUAUCGAUGCGUGAGAGGUGAAAUUCUUGGACCCGCAUCGAGACAAACUACUGCGAAAGCAUUUGCCAAGAAUGUCUUCAUUAAUCAAGAACGAAAGUCAGAGGAUCGAAGGCGAUUAGAUACCGCCCUAGUUCUGACCGUAAACGAUGCCAACUAGCGAUCAGGCGGUGGCUAUUAAACCCUGCCUGGGAGCUUCCCGGAAACGAAAGUCUUCGGGUUCCGGGGGUAGUAUGGUUGCAAAGCUGAAACUUAAAGGAAUUGACGGAAGGGCACCACCAGGAGUGGAGCCGCGGCUUAAUUUGACUCAACACGGGAAAACUCACCCGGCCCGGACACUGUAAUGAUUGACAGAUUGAGAGUUCUUUCUUGAUUCGGUGGUUGGUGGUGCAUGGCCGUUCUUAGUUGGUGGAGUGAUUUGUCUGGUUUAUUCCGAUAACGAACGAGACUCUAACCUGCUAAAUAGUUCUGCAGUAGCUUCGCUGCAGCAACUUCUUAGAGGGAUCAGUGG
This 725-nucleotide ribosomal RNA is filed under the name uncultured eukaryote. Its description in RNAcentral is "SSU rRNA". It matches the Rfam family "Eukaryotic small subunit ribosomal RNA", at positions 672 to 1426 of the family's 1831-position model. The record is from RNAcentral.